GGGAGGGGACACUCUCCUGGGAGCAGCUCCCUGCUUGGCAGGCGCACCUUAACCUGGAGAGCUGGGUGCACAGGCAGGAGCCUCCGGGCCUGGAUAGCCAGUGAGCCUGGCAGGGUGGUGGGGACACAGAUGGACGUCCCCAGCAGGGAUGGUGCGGGUGGAGGGAGGAGCGCCCGGCAGGUCCCUGCUGUCUGGGUCUGCUCUGGUGGUGGCUGCGGGUGAGCGCCUGUGGACUGGUGGCGUGGCACUGGGCUGCUCGGCCGUGUGUUUCUGAUUCCUCGAGGCCUCCCCAGCGCGGUGUGUGUGCAAGCCCCCCACGGCCUUGUCACCAACCGGCAUGUUCCAUGGGAGUGGGUGUGUGUGUGCCUGCACCUGUGUGUUUACUGGUUCCUUCACGCUGCUGCUCCCCACCCCGCCCCGGCCAGAAGAUUCUCACCACAGGCCUGUUGUGACUGUCCUGUCCUUGCCAUGCCCAGAGCCUGGAACAGUGCAGGGAACAGAGAUGGUGCUCAGUACACAUUUGACAUGUGAAUGAAUGAGUGUGUGUGGAGAAGCCUUCGAAUCUCAGGGUUCUACCUCUACCUUGACCGAUGGAGACACUGGGCUUCACUGUGGGCACAGGGGGGUCGGGGUGAGGGUCUACCCAGGGCCAACUGUAUGGCACCUGCCCCACCCCAGCCAGGACUGCCUGGCACCAAGCGGGGCUCCUGCUGUCAGGAUGCUCUAGGUGGGGUGUGGCCUCAGCCACCGGGCAUGCAGGGGGCAAGGGUGGGUCACCACACGCCCUGGGCAGAAGCCCUGGGCCUUCACACUCCACUCUGCCGCUGGGCCCCUGUGGGACGCUGGCAGCUUGGCCUCCCCAGCACUGCCCUGGACCCACCCCACUAGGCUGGGAAGGAACUCCCUCUGGGAACCCCUUGGGCUCAGAGCAGCCCCGGCUCUGCCC
This 946-nucleotide long non-coding RNA is filed under the name Homo sapiens (human). Its description in RNAcentral is "HSALNT0068023". Lineage: Eukaryota; Metazoa; Chordata; Mammalia; Primates; Hominidae. The record is from RNAcentral.